GACAGAGGGUGCAAACGUUGUUCGGAAUUACUGGGCAUAAAGAGCACGUAGGUGGCCAACUAAGUCAGACGUGAAAUCCCUCGGCUUAACCGGGGAACUGCGUCUGAUACUGGAUGGCUUGAGUUUGGGAGAGGGACGCGGAAUUCCAGGUGUAGCGGUGAAAUGCGUAGAUAUCUGGAGGAACACCGGUGGCGAAGGCGGCGUCCUGGACCAACACUGACACUGAGGAGCGAAAGCCAGGGGAGCAAACGGG
RNAcentral lists this ribosomal RNA (253 nucleotides) under uncultured bacterium. Its description in RNAcentral is "partial 16S ribosomal RNA". It matches the Rfam family "Bacterial small subunit ribosomal RNA", at positions 524 to 776 of the family's 1533-position model. The record is from RNAcentral.